This 203-nucleotide ribosomal RNA is filed under the name uncultured bacterium. Its description in RNAcentral is "partial 16S ribosomal RNA". It matches the Rfam family "Bacterial small subunit ribosomal RNA", at positions 29 to 216 of the family's 1533-position model. The record is from RNAcentral.
AACGAACGCUGGCGGCAUGGCUAAGACAUGCAAGUCGCACGGAACGCAGUAGCAAUAUUGCGUUUAGUGGCGGAAGGGUGAGUAAUGAAUGGGUAACGUACCUUGAACACGGGAAUAACAGCGGGCCGCAAGGCCCUUUGCGAAAGUGCUGCUAAUACCCGAUGAAGUGGCUGGCUCGCCUGAGCCGGUCACCAAAGCCGGGC